Non-coding RNA from Podarcis lilfordi (Lilford's wall lizard), 4330 nucleotides. The record is from the annotation of a GenBank genome assembly. Lineage: Eukaryota; Metazoa; Chordata; Lepidosauria; Squamata; Lacertidae.
GGGAGGUGAGAUGCUGCAUGCAUCUCUAUGCCCCCUAAAAUACAAAGUUCAAGGACACCUGAAAAGGGCUUAAACAGAAAUGGGAACUGAGCAACUUGUGUAGGGAUAGCAUUUCAGGGGUUAAUGAAUAUGAUAAGGGAAGAUCAGGAUCAUACCUCAAGAGUCCCAUGUAUACAAAGCCUAGACACAUAUAACUGAAGCAUAUAGGGUCCCUUACACAGGGUUUUUGCUCAGGGGAAAAUAUCACCUUGAUGUGUGUGACCUUACCACAUUUCUCAUGAUUUGACAUAGCACAGUAGAUAAACAAAUGACACUUGGCAGUCAUUUAUUGUUUCCAGCACAAUGUUUGUUAAAUUUCAAUCUGUACAAAGUCAUAAUGAAAUAAAACCCUUCUAUCAUGUGCUGUAAAAUCCCACAUAAAGAACAGCAUCCAUUAGACUGCGGAACAAAAAAUAGGGGAUCUCUCCCUUUGGAAAAUAUUUGCAAUCUUGUUCCUGGAAACAUUUCAAGGAUGUUUUGUAAAGCAGUCAAGGAUACAGUGAAGAUAAAAGUCAGUGCGUUGGCAGGAAGAAGGACGGGCUGACCCAACAGAGCCUUUCCCAGCUCUGAUUUCUCUGAUACUGUGAAGCAUGCCCUCUAUUUAUGUAAAGCUGAGAGCAAUAUAGAGGCUUCAAGGAGGCAGACAUUUGACAGUAGUUACUGUUGUGAAAGCCAUCCCCAAGAGAGACUUGCUGCCUUUGAUUGCCAAGACCUUAUGAGCAUUUUGCAGCUUUCCGUACCUUCUGAGCCUAAAGAGUCUUUAAGAGCUGUUGACCAGGAUAUCAGCAGAACUUACUGAAUAUGCAUUGCAUAAAGCAGCUUUUGAUAGACCUACCUAGGAUGUAUCAUUCCCCAAUUCUCAGCAGUGCAAAUGUGCACAACAAAAGAAAUGGAUAAUUAAUGACUGCAGCCCCCUUCCCCCCCAGGCAUGUUUCUGCCCUGGGCACCCCAAGGCAAUGGCACACACGCUUUUUCAAGCUCAGCAGCCCUACCAUGAGGAAUAGGAAGAAAGUAGCAACUGAAGUGGCUGACAUCAAAGCCUUUUGGGGCCAUUCAGCUUCAUGACUUCCUGUGAACAAUAGCUACUAAUCAUGUUCCAAAGGAGCAGCUGCAGACACACAUUUCUGAGAAAUAUACUGCAGGAAAUGUGUGCAUGUGUCGCAGCUAAACGGAACAUCUAUUUUGUCUCUUCGCAGUUCCACUAAUAUGCCAAGGUUACUUUCUGUGAGCAAAGCUGGCUCUUUUUAUGCGACAAAUGUGCUAAAUAGUAGACACUGUAGCAUGAUAAGCAAGGAAAAGCCAAAGCACAGCAACAAAUAGAGUUCAAAAAAACCCCUAUAUUACUGUUGUAUUCUGUAAACUCCCAGACAUUGGGGCUCAAAAAAUAUAAAAAACAAGUGGGACUCUGCAAUGUUGCAGUGUGUACUUAACAUGCACAUGUUAUCCAAGGGAGAGGAGAGCAAGUGUCCUUCUAGACAAAUAACUUGCCCUCCCCCUAGUUCAUGGAUGCCUGUGGUAAGUUAACAGAAAUGCACUUUUUGCAUGCUUUAAACACUUUUCUUAAUUAUUUUGCUGUCUACAGAGUAGUGCCCCAGGGGCUGUUUUUCUUCUGUUGGUGACAGAACUAGCAUGUGGAAGAGACAUACGGAAGUGGAAGAUAGAUGAUGAUACUCUUCCAAGCCUGAGACAUUCAGCGCUCCUCCAUACUCCCAAGCAAGCACGAAUAAGAGUGCAGCCUCAGCUGCUUGUAGUGCAAAUCUUCUGAAGGUUAUCUCAGAAGUAAGGGCUUGUCCACACCAAUUUCCCCUGGAGAAACCCAUGGUUUCCCACUAAAUCAAAACAAACAUCAAUCACGUUUUUCUGUGGAUUGACUUUGGUUCUGAUUCAGCAAUAAACAACAGAUUUUCCCAGUGAAAGCCAUGGGACAAAAGAACAACCACUUGGAUCCAUUACUGAAAAGCAAGAGACAAGCAAACACCUCUGUGACCCAUGCUUUCUAGGCAUGUAUCAAACAGAAGUGUGGAUGAGCCCUAAGUCUCACUGUGCAGACUCUUAAUGGGUCUUAACUUGGACAUCAAGAAUAUAAGGGAUGGGAUAUGCUUUACUGUACAUUAUAUGUGUGACAUAGGAGAACUCAACAUGGGAUCACCAUUUUUUUCCUAGUAUCAUGUAAUAUGUUUACCAGAAUCACUAGUCCUACCCUCAAAUGCAUAAAUGCAGCUCUCCACUCCUAAGGGUUAGCUUCCAAUAGAUGAAACAGGUGUGUAUACCAAUGCCUUUCUGUUUGUGGGUUUGUUUUUGUCAUUUAAAAGAAUGGGAUGUCCUGUGCAUUGGAACCUAUAUAAGGUGCACUAUGUUUGCUAUUACUAGUGUAACUUUAGAAGGGCAGCAAUAAUUUUGCCAGAGAUUAAUAUAUCUUAUAUAUCAUGUUAUUGUAUAUCAGAGGUGGGCAAUCUCAUGCCUCUAGGCCUCUGUAUCUCUCCCUCGGGAUUUUUUCCCAGGCUACAUUCCUUUUUAGGCCAAACCCAUUUUCCUCUGGGAACACCCCUCAAUGGACUUGCUCUGUGUCUUCCUCAAAUGCUUUUGUGUGCCUGAAAAGUGUCAUUUGCCCUAUUGCAAAUGCCUUUUGCUUUCCUUGAUGGAGGACAGAGGGAUAGAGUUGCACCUGCUGCUCACUCGCUUUUGCCUUUGCAACUGCCCACCACAGACAUGCAGCCAUUGGAAGGUUGCCUAUGAGGGAAUGUGGCUCCAAGGCUGAAAAGCUCCCCCUCUUCUGCUGUACACCCACAAUGAUCAAAAUGGGAGCCAAGCAACCCCAGAGAGACAGGGAGAGAUACAUAAUUGUAAAACAAAGAACGGAUAUUUUUCCUUUCUUCUCACUUCCAACCCAGUAUUUUGUUUAUAUUGGUUGCUCCAUAAGGGCAUGUUCAAUGAGGGUAGCAGGCAGAGCAAAGGUUGAUUGGUCAGAACCAACCAGCCAGCCAUAGGAGCCUUCGCUGUGUUGUUAGGCUGCCAGCAGUGACAGCAGCUUGGGGAAAUGCUGCAAAAAGCCUAACAGGGUUUCAGUUCCAGGUCAAAAAUUGAAAUUGACGUGUGGGUCCCUUAGCAAGAAAGGAUUCCAUUUGUAUUGUGGGUCUUCUUGCAAAAAAUGCUUGGAAACUACUGAACUAUACAAAACUGUGUCCUGAUUGAAUUUAUUAUAUGGAUUGCUUUUUAUAUGUUGAAAUAUAUAUAUUUUUAAAAAUACAACUUGAGGACCAAUCCAUUCAACCAUGUGCACAUGUCAUAGCCACUUUAUCUUAUGUAACUCUCUCUGCAAAAAGCCAAGUGCCACAACAUGUAGUAUUAUGUUCCCAGUGCGCUAUUCCUAUCCCAUUGACCACUUGAGAGGGCUAAAGCUUAUCCCUACCACCAGUGUAUUGUUCGCAGGUUUUCUGACACCAAUGUUAAAUCUCCAUCACAGGGUAUCCAUAGCUGCAGUUACUCUCAUAGAAACGAACAUCUGCAACUCAUGUGGGGGGAAAUAAGGUUAGACAUCUGGGGACAGUGUUGCAGUCACUAUCUUGUAAGAGAGGAUGGCCCAGUCUCCAUCAAUGCCACAGGGAAGGGUUGUAAUAUGACCCAGGGGUGCCAAGGGGAAAGGUUGUGAUAGAUUUCUGUGCACAGAGCAAAGCACAUGGGGAUGCAUGUGAUUGCACAAACACACCCAGACACACCAGCAAGCCCAGCAGUAUGCAACCCUUGACACAGACUGUGUAGCAGGCAUUUUUUCUACUAUUGAAUAAAUAUUGAAAACAAUUCACUUUGGCUAUGCACAAAGAAACUAAUGAUAUACUGCAUGUCAUGUUUCCCCUCAUAAUAGAUUGACACGUGUUUGAGGAAAUGUUGAUGAUGCAUUUGAGUGCAUAAUAAUAUGUGUUAACUGUGUUAAUUAUUUUGAAUCGUUUGGAGAAGCCAUUAGUAAGGCAUUAGAAGAAUUAAAUAUAAAUAUUUAACACAUUUAAACUGAUUGCAUUUCAUCAAAUCUUGGCUUAUCUUUUAUGUUUCCCUAAUCUUCAUGCAGUCCUCUGAACUUCUGAACAGCUUCAUGACUUCCUGUGAACAGUGCUACAUUGAAGGAUAAAAACCCAAUGUAUACUAGAGUCUGUACACAUACAAUUUUUGCACACAUAGGCUCUGUGUGGUAGUUCUUGGGACUGCGUGGUUAAGGGCAGAGCCAAAGUUGCAAUCCCUCAUUUACUCUUUUGAAGAGGGCUUUUUAUCACAUUUUGUCAAGCCAUGUUUGCAAUAC